UUUCAGUAGGGACGAAGCGCAAGUGACGGUACCUGCAGAAGAAGCACCGGCUAACUACGUGCCAGCAGCCGCGGUAAUACGUAGGGUGCGAGCGUUGUCCGGAAUUACUGGGCGUAAAGAGCUCGUAGGCGGUUUGUCACGUCGUCUGUGAAAUCCCUCGGCUUAACCGGGGGCGUGCAGGCGAUACGGGCAGACUUGAGUACUACAGGGGAGACUGGAAUUCCUGGUGUAGCGGUGAAAUGCGCAGAUAUCAGGAGGAACACCGGUGGCGAAGGCGGGUCUCUGGGUAGUAACUGACGCUGAGGAGCGAAAGCAUGGGUAGCGAACAGGAUUAGAUACCCUGGUAGUCCAUGCCGUAAACGGUGGGCGCUAGGUGUGGGGUCCUUCCACGGACUCCGUGCCGUAGUAACGCAUUAAG
RNAcentral lists this ribosomal RNA (418 nucleotides) under Dietzia sp. NB252. RNAcentral's name for it is "bacterial SSU rRNA". It matches the Rfam family "Bacterial small subunit ribosomal RNA", at positions 434 to 864 of the family's 1533-position model. The record is from RNAcentral. Lineage: Bacteria; Bacillati; Actinomycetota; Actinomycetes; Mycobacteriales; Dietziaceae.